GUAAGGGGUGUCUGCCACUCCCUUUUUUGCAUGGUGCUGGCACAGCAAGCUCCUCAGGAUGAAAGGAGGAGGAACAUUCUAUUCUUGUAUCCUAAAUAUCUUUCUCCCAAAAAUUCAGCUCCGCUGCAAACUCUGAGGUAUCUUCUAAACCACAUUUCACGCAAUUUGAUCCUUUCCUGGAUGUGUGGUCUUUCAUCUGUCUGUGCCUCAGGUGUCCUGAGAUUAGCAGUUCUAAUACUUAUCUGGCUUCCAGCUAGGUAUUAAGAAUAAAAGGAUAAUGAA
Passer domesticus (house sparrow) is the source of this 282-nucleotide long non-coding RNA. RefSeq lists it as uncharacterized. The record is from RefSeq and is a predicted model, not a curated record. NCBI's taxonomy places the organism in Eukaryota, Metazoa, Chordata, Aves, Passeriformes, Passeridae. The transcript has 2 exons.